RNAcentral lists this long non-coding RNA (1071 nucleotides) under Ananas comosus (pineapple). Its description in RNAcentral is "long non-coding RNA (ACOM_LNC005687)". The record is from RNAcentral. Lineage: Eukaryota; Viridiplantae; Streptophyta; Magnoliopsida; Poales; Bromeliaceae.
UAUACGCCUGGUCUGUUGGCGUGCUCGGAAAAACGUAGUAAUCCGGGGCGUGACAUUUAAAUAGUAAUUUUAAGUUUGAAUUUAAAUAAAUUGAAAUUUAGUUUUAUAUUUUGAAUUAUCCACUCAACUUUAAAGUUUAAUUUUUUAAAAAAAAAAUAGAUUUAAAAUUUUGACAUUAUUUCAAAAUUUUGAUGUAAAUUUUUAAUAUUUAAUUUUUAAUUUGAAUUUAAGUUAAUAUAUUAUAAAGAUAAAAUUAGUAUAUUGAUCUGAUUACGUUUUUUAUAUUUAUCUGAACCAAACACCGAUAAUGGGAAUGAUUUAUUCCGAUUCCGAUUCAGGUGAUGAGCCAAACAGAAUUAGGUAAUUAGUCAUUCCGAUUCCGAUUCCAACUUAUUUCGAUUCCAAUUCUAAUUCCGAUUCCGACUUCGAACCAAACACGCCCUAGAUGCUUACAUGUUGGGCCUGUGGGCCAAAUCAAAAAAUUAUUACGCGGUGUUUAAUGAUGUAACAAUAAUGUGAUAGCUAAUAUUUUAGUCACUAUUUUUUUUUCAUAAAAUGAUAAAGUACUCUACGCUCACAAAGUAUUUCACUUAUGAGAUUAUUUAUUUUAUUCCAAAAAAAUUAAAGAUAAAAUAUACAAUAUCUUUUUAGACACUCCAUCCCGGUCCUUGUCUAUCAAUUACUCAAAACUUUAUCUUCUUAUCCAUCAAUUACUCUAAGAGCGCAUUUGGUUUGAGUUAUGUAAUAUUUCAAAGUAUUUCAAUAUAUCUAGGUAUCUUGAAUUUUUAAAUAAGAUUACUACUGAUACUAUAUUAGUGUGUAUGAUUUAAUACAAUAAUAUAAGGGCUUUUUUUGCAAAUAGCCCCCUAACAAAUUUUAUUUGCAAAAAUAGCCCUCUGUAAAAUUUAUUUGCAAAAAUGGCCCUACCCCUGCCACGUCAGCGCCACGUCAGCGCCAUGUGGGAGGGCCAGGUGUUCAACUUGAACACGGUGAUUCGUUCACCGUGUCUAAACACGGUGAACCAAUCACCGUGUUCAAUAGGAACCCAUAUAUCUAUUGAAAACGGUGAAC